AAUGUGUGAGGUGGUGCUAUGUAGCAGGAACCCCUCUUGCUUUGCAAAUAGUUUUUUGUUUGUUUUCCUUUUUGCCCAAUAGAGCCCUGCUCUACUGACCCUUCAAUGUGCCCGUGUGCCUAAAUAUUCCUGGUCGUGUGAAAAGAACCCAGCAGUCAAGCUCAACUUGCAGAACUGAUGGGAACCCCUUGGGAAAACUGGCCUCAAAUGUUUGUCUACACAGUCCACAUACAGGGUUCUUAACCUGCGGAAACACUUUCUGAAAAUGUCAGAACUCUUGAAAACAUGGAUGAGGAAAAGCAUAAGUACUGCUUUAUGCUUUUCUUAUGAAUUUUAAAAGAUGUAAUUUAAAGAUUGAAACUCCCACAACUUUGGCAGACCAACUCCUCAGAAAACAUUAUUCUUUGACAUCAAUAUGUUUUGCACAAAAUUGAAUGGCAAGUGAAAGGCAUCAAAUGAUGGAGUCUUGUUCUGUGGUCCAGGCUAGAGGGCAGUGGCAUGAUCUCGGCUCACUACAAGCUCUGCCUCCCGGGUUCACGCCAUUCUCCUGCCUCAGCCUCCUGAGUAGCUGGGACUACAGGCGCCCGCCACCACGCCUGGCUAAUUUUUUGUAUAUUUACUAGAGAUGGCUAGUGUUAGCCAAGAUGGUCUCGAUCUCCUGACCUCGUGAUCUGCCCACCUCAGCCUGCCAAAGUGCUGGGAUUACUGGCGUGAGCCACCGUGCCUGGCCAGCAUCCUCUAAUUAUUAUUCAUAGUUUGUGAAUUUAGGCCUACGUGAAUAAUAAUAUAAUAUUUACUAUGAUGUUACUAUCUACCAACCUUAUUUUUCUUUUCUAUAAAAUAGGAGCCAAAAUAAUAUUUAUGUCAUACCUUAUGAAGUUAAAAUAAAAUAUAACGAAUGAGGG
Molecule: long non-coding RNA, 905 nt
Filed under: Homo sapiens (human)
Lineage: Eukaryota; Metazoa; Chordata; Mammalia; Primates; Hominidae
Description: p53 upregulated regulator of p53 levels
Source: RNAcentral